Molecule: ribosomal RNA, 433 nt
Filed under: uncultured bacterium
Lineage: Bacteria
Description: partial 16S ribosomal RNA
Rfam family: Bacterial small subunit ribosomal RNA
Source: RNAcentral
AAUGAACGCUGGCGGCAUGCCUAACACAUGCAAGUCGAACGAGACCUUCGGGUCUAGUGGCGCACGGGUGCGUAACGCGUGGGAACCUGCCCUUAGGUUCGGAAUAACUCCCCGAAAGGGGUGCUAAUACCGGAUAAUGUCUUCGGACCAAAGAUUUAUCGACUUUGGAUGGGCCCGCGUUGGAUUAGCUAGUUGGUAGGGUAAAAGCCUACCAAGGCGACGAUCCAUAGCUGGUCUGAGAGGAUGAUCAGCCACACUGGGACUGAGACACGGCCCAGACUCCUACGGGAGGCAGCAGUGGGGAAUAUUGGACAAUGGGCGAAAGCCUGAUCCAGCAAUGCCGCGUGAGUGAUGAAGGCCUUAGGGUUGUAAAGCUCUUUUACCCGGGAUGAUAAUGACAGUACCGGGAGAAUAAGCUCCGGCUAACUCCGUG